AGAUGGAUCAUUCAUGAAUUAUACUUAAUAAUGUGGUUUCUUAUAUCCAACAUGAAAUGAGAGAUGUGGUUUCUUAUAUCCAACAUGAAAUGAGAGAUGUGGUUUGUUCUAUCCAACAUGAAAUGAGAGAUGUGGUUUGUCAUAUCCAACAUGAAAUGAGAGAUGUGGUUUGUUCUAUCCAACAUGAAAUGAGAGAUGUGGUUUGUUAUAUCCAACAUGAAAUGAGAGAUGUGGUUUUUUAUAUCCAACAUGAAAUGAGAGAUGUGGUUUCUUAUAUCUAACAUGAAAUGAGAGAUGUGGUUUGUUAUAUCCAAUAUGAAAUGAGAGGUUUUGGCUGAGUCGUGUAACAAAUUUUUGUAAUGCAUAUGGUUUUCUGUUGCAAUUUAAAAGAGAUAAUUCUAUUUACGCUUUUCAGCGAUGGAUGUCUCGGCUCUCGUAACGAUGAAGAACGCAGCUAGCUGCGAGAUGCAGUGUGACAUGCGAACUUCUGUGAAUCACUAGAUUUUUGAACGCAAACGGUACUUCUAAAUUUAUUUAGGAGUAUGUUCACUUCAGUGCUUUUAUAUAUUUGUUGUCCUAAUUGGUGGUCAACGUGAAUAGUUGCUGUGAUUAUGGUAACUGUAAGCUAAUGGUAAUGACUUUUAGGUGACUGUGCGAAGAUCAUUACUAAGAUUAUUAAUAAGCCUGAAUUUGAGCAAGUAUACCCGCUGAACUUAAGCAUAUUAUUAAGCGGAGGAAAAGAAACUAACUAGGAUGCCCCUGGUAACUGCGAGUGAACAGGGCACAGCUCAAACUGAAAAUCGGCAGUUCUCUGUCGAAUUGUAGUCUCAUGAAAUGCAGCCUGUAGAUGUUCUGAGUUAAGUCUCUUGGAAAAGAGUACCAAAGAGGGUGAAAGUCCCGUCUUUACUCAUGACUAUUUACUUUCGGUGCAUUUUCAAAGAGUCGCGUUCUUUGAGAUUGGAGCGCUAAGUGGGUGAUAAACUUCAUCUAAAGCUAAAUAUUAAUGAGAGUCCGAUAGAGCAUAAGUAGCGUGAGCGAACGAUGAAAAGAACUUUGAAAAGAGAGUCAAAAGGAACUGAAAUUGCUGAAAGGGAAGUGGAGAGAAUCGACGGUCUAGCGAAGUUUUCUAUAUGCUCUGGAUAUUCGUUAUCCAUGAGUGUGUGGUAAAGAUUUUGCGGUGACUCUGGCAGUGAUUGUAUAAACUGAUUACGUUGUUGAUAGGCUCUAUAUUAGGGCAAUGUCUUUGAUGUUUUAAGUCUGUGUGAUCUAUGUAUUUCUAAUUCAACAUUUCUGUUGUAUUAUACUCUUCCAGACAAGUUGAUUUUCUCCUCCCCGUCUUGAAACACGGACCAAGGAGUCUACUUUAUGUGCGAGUACAAGGGUGGAAAACCUAUGUGCGAAAUGAAAGUGAAUGUUAGGAUGGUUUUACCUGCACUGACACUCGGCCACUGAGUCGAAGUAGAGCACAUAGAAUAGGACCCGAAAGAUGGUGAACUAUGCCUGAGUAGGGUGAAGCUAGAGGAAACUCUGGUGGAAGCUCGUAGCGAUACUGACGUGCAAAUCGUUCGUCAAACUUUGGUAUAGGGGCGAAAGACCAAUCGAACCAUCUAGUAGCUGGUUCCCUC
RNAcentral lists this unclassified non-coding RNA (1625 nucleotides) under uncultured fungus. RNAcentral describes it as "sequence contains 18S rRNA gene, ITS1, 5.8S rRNA gene, ITS2, 28S rRNA gene". The stretch from base 681 to 1625 matches the Rfam family "Eukaryotic large subunit ribosomal RNA", at positions 1 to 961 of the family's 3401-position model. The record is from RNAcentral. Lineage: Eukaryota; Fungi.